CGAGGCUUUCGCCAAGAAGCUCCCAGCACAACCUGUCAGGCCAAAACUCCGGAACGCCAACAGGGGAUGCCUCGCCGCACAGCACGAAUCUCCCCAUGAGGUGCCCACGACGUCGCACAGCACCACCACGGCCACCAAGAUCAAGCCUUGGCCACGAGCUCCUUCCCCGCACGAAUCUGGGAGCUCUCAACGCCAACAGGGGAUGCCUCGCCGCCGCCGUCAUGGGGGCCCGCGCGGCCAACCCGGCCAGCCCCUCUGGCAGCGGCGAGACGGAGAGGGCGGGGGAGAGUGGGGCAGCGGCUAGGGUUUCGCCUCCCGAGCCGCCCACGGGAGAGAGCGAUGCCCCUGAAAAUGAAACAGUGUUGAUGUUUAAUGGUGCGAGUCACACAUGCAUAUGCAUUUUGUGGCAAAUGCAUAUUCUGAUGGAAUCUAUUAAUGUGAUGAUAAUACAAUACCUUAGUAUAAUUAAAU
RNAcentral lists this unclassified non-coding RNA (471 nucleotides) under Zea mays. RNAcentral describes it as "misc RNA Zm00001eb420630". Lineage: Eukaryota; Viridiplantae; Streptophyta; Magnoliopsida; Poales; Poaceae. The record is from RNAcentral.